Molecule: non-coding RNA, 71 nt
Organism: Phthorimaea operculella (potato tuberworm)
Lineage: Eukaryota; Metazoa; Arthropoda; Insecta; Lepidoptera; Gelechiidae
Source: the annotation of a GenBank genome assembly
CUCGCGAUAGCCAGUUGGUAGGCGUCGGCUACUGAUGCCGAAGGUCGCGGGUUCAAAUCCUGCCUGCGGUG